RNAcentral lists this microRNA precursor (120 nucleotides) under Callithrix jacchus (white-tufted-ear marmoset). RNAcentral describes it as "microRNA cja-mir-548o precursor (cja-mir-548o-1)". Its record names the gene cja-mir-548o-1. The record is from miRBase by way of RNAcentral. Lineage: Eukaryota; Metazoa; Chordata; Mammalia; Primates; Cebidae.
AAUAUAAAAGAGAAAAAUUAUUAGGUUGGUGCAAAAGUAAUUGCGGUCUUUGCAACUGAAAGUAAUGGCAAAAAUCACAAUUAGUUUUGUACCAACUUAAUAUAUGUUUGGAUAUAUAUU